UCCCUCAAUUACAUGAUAACGCUACUGCAAUUUUCUUCAAAGGCAUCAAAUUUCCACUCUAGUAAACAUAGUUUCAGAACUGAACUCCUCCUUUAUUAUUUCAGAACUAGGACUCAGAUAAUUUCAUCAAAAUUAUACAAUUCGAAAAUAAGUUACAUUACAAUGACCAUCCAAUUCCAAGGCUUAAUAUGGAUGCAAUUAAGCUCCUAAACCAAAAACAAAAGCAGCACUAUUCACAACACACAAGAUCAUUCAAGUCAUGAAGAAUUACAGCACAUGUCUGUGUACAUCCUGAAUAUGUAUCAUUUAAUUUCAAUUUUCCGAACAGGCAAAGCAAUAGGAAGCUAAAAUAAAGUGAAAGUUGGUGUUUUUACAGUCUCCGAGCUUGUUGGGAGUGGUUAUGGAAGCUUUGACGCAUAUUUUAAAGGGCGCAGAAGGCGGAGAAGAAGACAUUGAGAGUACUUUGAGGGCGCUAGAAUUCUU
Molecule: long non-coding RNA, 483 nt
Filed under: Arachis ipaensis
Lineage: Eukaryota; Viridiplantae; Streptophyta; Magnoliopsida; Fabales; Fabaceae
Description: long non-coding RNA (AIPA_LNC002454)
Source: RNAcentral